CUGUGGUGCAAAACGUACUUCAAACUUCAUUUAAAGAAACCAAAAUCUGGUAGAUGUGCCUGUCCACCCAAAAAUGGGACCUUAUUCCAAAAAACAGUUUCCUCUGUCCAUACGUAUCUGUAGGGGUAUUGAAUUGCACCUGUAUUAUGCUCUUGACGAUUGGGAUAUCUUUAGCAGCAUAUCGUGAAUAUGGAAGUCCCAAAACUAUAAAAAAAAAUUGUCAUUGAGAGCAUAUACUUCUGAUCAUUAUUCCA
Lycium ferocissimum is the source of this 254-nucleotide long non-coding RNA. RefSeq lists it as uncharacterized. The transcript has 2 exons. The record is from RefSeq and is a predicted model, not a curated record. Lineage: Eukaryota; Viridiplantae; Streptophyta; Magnoliopsida; Solanales; Solanaceae.